CUUUGACCCCAACAUAGUUAUGUUAUUUUGAUCUUCUUUGAGGAUGAAGGACCACAACCAGCUUCAGAUAUGAAUGAGUUUUGUGAGAUGCAUACUCUCCCUAAUUAUGAUAAAUAGGUCUAAAGAAAAGGGCAAGAUGGCUCUCUGCUAAGUACACCAUAUUCAAACUAUUGGGUAUGAGACCUUCCCCAUGGACACCACUGGAAAGAGAACAAUUGGGCCUUCGUCAAAUAGUCAGCCAAUGGAAAGAGGCUGCUCCCAAUGACCUGGUGGGCCAACAGGAAUGUCCUCUCCCAGAAAGAGGUCCCCGUUGUCUCUCCAAGGAGUGCCUCCACCUUAAGUGAUCCAGUGAGAAGACUGGAUUAAAGGGGCCUGGAGUCUCUCCUGACCCGAAAACUAUAAUCCUAUGGAAGAUCAGAGAAAACCUCCAAGAAGAGGAUAAAUUUGUGCUGGGCUUUGAAGAAUGGAUAGAAUUUGGAUCAGUAUAGUAUACUUGAUUUCAGGCAAGGAAAUUGCACAAAUGAAAGGAGAGUAGAUCUUGUUCCUAGAAAAGGUUAAUUUAGGAAAUUAUAAAAUUGUUUGUAUAUAACAACUAUGGUCCUUACCCUUAAACCAGGGAGAUAUAAAACAGAGAAUGAAAACUGUAGACCACUAACUGUAGACUAUCAAACUAUUGAAUAUCACCUUAGAGAUUACAGCAUUAUAUUAAAAAAUAUUGUAUUAUUCGCUGUAAUCAGAUUGGAUUUAUUCCAGGAAUGAUAGCAGACCUUAUGAAUAAUAAAAACAAUAAAAAUCAUAUGUUUAUAUCAAUAAAUAUAAAAAAAAGUUUUUGAAAAAAUACAAUACUUGUGCUUUGACAAAAUGACACUAGAAUUUCAGGAAUAAAUGGUAAGAAAUCUGUUUAAAAACAAGAAGUAGCAUUAUCUGUAAUGGACACUAGAGACCUUUCCAGUAAGAUUAAGGGUUAAUCAAAGAUGCUUUUCAUCACCAAUAUUAUUUAAUAUAGCCCUAGAAAUGCUAGGCAUAGUAGUAUUAUGAGAAAAAAUGGAAAGUGUAAGAUAGGCAAAAAGAAAACAAAAUUAUCACUAUUUGCAGAUGAUAUGAUAUUCUAUUUAGAGGAUUGUAAAAAUUAAACUAAAGUUAAUUGAAAUAAUUUGUAACAUCAGUAAAGUAGAAGGGUGCAGAGACCCAUGUUUAUCUUAAUUCCCUCAUCUAUAAAAUGAGCUGGAGAAGGAAGUGACAAAUCCUUCAGUAUAUUUACCAAGAAAUUCCAAAUCGGGUUGCUGAAGCGCCUGAACAACAAAAGAUGGAUAUAAAAUAAAUCCACAAAUCCACCUUGUUGCAAAUUGCCAACAAAACCCAGUGGAAAGAGCUUUUCAAAAAGAAAUUCCAUUGAAAAAAAUCUACAGAUUGUACAAAAAAAUUUUGGAGGCUACUUAUCAAAAUAUACAUAAGAUUUAGUUGAAUACAACUUCUCAACAUAUGCACAAAACUUAUUAUAAAAAUAAAAUAAUUGGAAGUAUAUGAAUUGUUCCUCUUUAGGCCUAGUCAAUAUAAUAGAAAUGAUGAUACAGCCUAGAUUAAUUAAAAUAUUUAUUACCAUACCAAUCAAACUACUCAAGGGCUAUUUUAAUCAUUAGACAUUUAGUCAUAAUAGUGAUGAAAUUCAACUGGGGUAAAAAAAACAAAAUCACGAUUAUCAAGGGAAAUAAUGAAAAAAUAAGUAGAGAGACAUAUUAGAUUUCAAGUUAUAUUGCAAAGCAGAACUCAUCAAAACUAGAAAUAUAAAUAGAAAAGGUGGUCCAUGGAAUAUAUUAGGUUCAUAGGAACAUAUUAAGUGAUCAGUGGAACAUAUUAGGACUCCAAAAUGUUUAAACAUAGAUAGUAACAACAGGUUUGAUAGAUAGAAGAUUGAAAUUUUUAGGUAUGAGCUCCUGAUUUAACAAAAACUGAUGUAAACUCUGAAAGCAGUAUGAAAGAAAUCAGACGUUUUGUCACAACUAGUCCUAAAGGAAUACAUGGCCAAAUAUACAAGAUAAUAAUGUGUUAAAGAAAAUAGAAGAAAAUUGAAUGAAAUAACUUUUGUAAUUGUGGUUUGAAGGUAGUAUUUUUACCUAAAAAAGCCACAGAGAUAAUUAUUAAAGAUAAAAUAGACAAUUUCAAUAAUGUAAAAUUGAAAAAAAAAACCCAACAACCUUCUGCAUGAGCAGAAUUAAUGUAUUUAGAAUCAAGAGGGAAAUUAUUGGUUGGGAAAAAAAAUCUUCCCAACAGAUUUCUCUAAGGAAAAUCUACUAAAGAAUUAAUACAUAUAAGAAAAUAAGUAUACUACUUUAUAGACUAUAGACUUUAAAGUAUAGGCUAUAUCUUUAUACUAUAUAGUAGAAAGAUAAGUUCUCAAAUGAAGAAAUUCAUGCUAUCAACUUUUAUGAAAAAAAUGCUCCAAAUCGCCAAUCAUAAGAUUAAUACAAAUUAAAACAGUUCUUAGAUUCUAUCCCACAUCUAUCUAAUUAGCAAAGACAUCAAAAAUGGAAAAUAGAAAUUGUUAGAGGGGUUCAAGGAGGAUAGGCACAGUAACAACAUUAGUGAAGCUGUGUAUGAUCCCCAAAUUCCAAAGAGCAAUUUUUAAAAGUACAUUAGAAGUCACUAAACUGUGCAUGCACUUUGAUCUAGCAGUACUACUAUUAAGCAUGCUUUUUUAGGAGUGCAAAGAAAUGAGGAAAGGAACGACUUGCACAGAGAUAUUUAUAGCAGCAUUUUUGUUAUCGCAAAGAACUAGAAAUAAAGUAGAUACCUAUCACUUGAAGACUAAGCAAAUUAUGGAAUAUAAAUGUAAAUAUAAUGUCUUAAUAAAUGAUGCUUAUAAGGAUUCAGAGAAAUCUGGAAACACUUAUAUGAAAUGAUACAAAAUGAAGUGAGCAGAACAAAUUGAGAGAGGCCAGGUGAAAGAAGUAUUUGAAAGCUAAAAAGAGUUUAGACUUGGAGAUUUAAAAAAAAGAAAGAAAGAGAGAGAGAAUCAUUUUCUGGUAUCAAUUUGUUUGUGUGGGAGAUGGAAAGAACCCAAAAUUAGGGAAGCCAGGUGGUUGAAUUAGCCAGGACAAGAUGGCCUGUUGCCAUAAUGUAAGUAAUGAGAGACACAUCUUUAGGGAAAAAUUGACAGGAUCUCUUGAAUAGUUAAACCAAUGUCAUUCAAUCCUAUAGCAAAAUGCCAAGAAGUCAAGUGAGUGCUGUCAAGAUAGUAAUGUCCAUGAGCCCAUUACACUAGGUCAAGGAUUGUGUUUGGGGAUAAACAGCCUGAUCUUCGUGAUGAGAUGAGUUCAGGGGCAAGAGGUAAGAAGGUAAAAAUUCAGGACUAGUCGAGGAAUAGACCUGAAGCAUGGUAUGAUACAUAGAAAAUAGGCAGGAAUAAAUGAUCAAAGACUAAAUUGGUCAUAAGAUUUCAAUCCAUUAGAUACAAUUAUUAAAAUUAUUAUUGUUAUUAUUAUCUUAUCCAAUAAGAUAAAGUCCAUUAGAUGUAAGCUCCUUGAGGGCAAAGACUGUUUCUUUUUAUACAUUAUAUCUUCAUCAUUUAGCCUGGCACAUAGUGGACACUUAAUAAACAUUUACUGGAUUUUAUUAAGUGACCCUAUGCCUAUUGCUUGACAUAGGUUUGUUUGACAUAGGUGUUGGCAACCAUGUGAAAAGAGCACUGGGUUCUUAUAUUAUUUCUGUCACUUUCAACCUGUAUGACCUUAAACAAAUCAUUAUCUUUGUGGGCUUCAAUUUCCAUAUCUGAAAAAAAUGAGCUGAUCACUAAGAUAAUUUCUAGUUCCAAAAUUAUGACUACAUUUCAUUUCUAUUCUUGACUCCCCCCUUCCACCCCAUUUCAAAGAGUGAAUUCAGUUGAAUUAAAUUUGUUUCUGGUCUAUCCUGGGGAAUAUUGUCAAAUCAACUAAAAACAAUUACUCAUGGGCUCCAAGAAUUGGAGAAUAACUCUUAUAAAUGUCUAUCUCAUUACAGAAGAUUUAGAAUAUGGAAUACACAGUAAGGAAAUACUGUUCUAGAUUGAGUUUUAUUCACAAAAAGUGAAUUCUCAUUCCUAAAUAUGGAGUAUCAUCCAGAGUUUUAAAAAUCUUUGACAAUAGGAAGAAAAUAGCAAUUAUCCUAAGGAAAAUCUCCCAAAGAGUUAUUGUGAAAGUAGCAGCUAGUGUAUAACAUGAAUUUUUUUCCAUAUAAAGCAGGUAGGCUUUUGGGAAAUAUUCUCAGGUCUUAAAAAAACAACACACAAUCCAAACCCAGUUAUGAAUGAAACAUUCACUGAUGCAUGGAUUAACCAAGAAACCCAUCCUGUCAGGUAUAUGGCACAGUGACUAGAGCACUAGACUUGGAAUCAGAAAGACUUGAAUUCAAAUCUCAGUUUCAGAUACUUACUACAUAAGUGACUCCAAACAAGACAUUUCACCUGUCUGAUUCAAUUUUCUCAAUUAUAAAACAGGAAUAAUAAUAAUAGCACCUAUCUCUCAGAGUGGUAGGAAGAUAUUAUUUAUAAAGUAUAUGGAAAGCACAUAGUAGCUGCUUAAUAAAUGUUUGUUCCAUUCCUUCCCUUUCCCCCACAAGAUUUUAUUGACUUCCCUGAGAAAGCGCAAGUGAAAAUGUAUUCUUUCUCCUCAAAAUUUUCACAGCAUAUUUUUGUUCAUUUGUUUGUUUCUGCCAGUCUUCUUCUUUACAUUUACCUCAAUAUAUCUGUAUCAUAGUAAGCCCUUUGUAUUUUAAAUUCAUUGAGAAGAUACAUGGGUUGUAAAUCUCUUUGUAUUUCUGUUAGCUAUUAUGGUAUUCUGCACAUAGAAGGUGAUUAAUAAAUGUUUUUGAAUUGAAUUGAAUUGAAAGAAAUUGAUGGUGUCUGGCCUAUCCUGGGGAAUAUUGAAAAAUCAACUAAAAACAAACUUGUACAGAGUAAGGAGAUUAGUACUUAACUAUCCUCUAUCUUUUUUCUCUUUCUCAUGAAGAUAGUACCCAAGUAGAUGUUGUAUCACAGGAAUCUAUUUACAUUCAAGUAUUUUGUAAGUGCAAGGGAUAAGUGUUCACUUUUUAGUUUUUAUUUUUCACAUGAAAGAUCAGAAUAUUUGUAAAUGUAUGCCUCCAGAUUUUCUAAAUAAAAAAAUAAAUUCCUAAAAAUUUCUAAAUAUGAAGUAAUUCAGCAUCUACAGUAUGUUCAAUGUAAUUAGUUUUUUACCAUGCAGGGGAAAUUAUUUGUGAAAUUAUUCCCUUCCUCGAGAAUAGAAGAAUAGGUUUACUAUGAUGGCUAUCUUAAGAGAGAAAGUGAUAUCCCAA
This is a long non-coding RNA of Sarcophilus harrisii (Tasmanian devil), 5307 nucleotides long. The record is from Ensembl. Lineage: Eukaryota; Metazoa; Chordata; Mammalia; Dasyuromorphia; Dasyuridae.